RNAcentral lists this ribosomal RNA (594 nucleotides) under Colletotrichum tropicale. RNAcentral describes it as "eukaryotic LSU rRNA". The stretch from base 231 to 384 matches the Rfam family "5.8S ribosomal RNA". Lineage: Eukaryota; Fungi; Ascomycota; Sordariomycetes; Glomerellales; Glomerellaceae. The record is from RNAcentral.
UAGAGGAAGUAAAAGUCGUAACAAGGUCUCCGUUGGUGAACCAGCGGAGGGAUCAUUACUGAGUUUACGCUCUACAACCCUUUGUGAACAUACCUAUAACUGUUGCUUCGGCGGGUAGGGUCUCCGUGACCCUCCCGGCCUCCCGCCCCCGGGCGGGUCGGCGCCCGCCGGAGGAUAACCAAACUCUGAUUUAACGACGUUUCUUCUGAGUGGUACAAGCAAAUAAUCAAAACUUUUAACAACGGAUCUCUUGGUUCUGGCAUCGAUGAAGAACGCAGCGAAAUGCGAUAAGUAAUGUGAAUUGCAGAAUUCAGUGAAUCAUCGAAUCUUUGAACGCACAUUGCGCCCGCCAGCAUUCUGGCGGGCAUGCCUGUUCGAGCGUCAUUUCAACCCUCAAGCUCUGCUUGGUGUUGGGGCCCUACAGCUGAUGUAGGCCCUCAAAGGUAGUGGCGGACCCUCCCGGAGCCUCCUUUGCGUAGUAACUUUACGUCUCGCACUGGGAUCCGGAGGGACUCUUGCCGUAAAACCCCCCAAUUUUCCAAAGGUUGACCUCGGAUCAGGUAGGAAUACCCGCUGAACUUAAGCAUAUCAAUA